This 525-nucleotide ribosomal RNA is filed under the name uncultured Alphaproteobacteria bacterium. RNAcentral describes it as "bacterial SSU rRNA". It matches the Rfam family "Bacterial small subunit ribosomal RNA", at positions 60 to 527 of the family's 1533-position model. Lineage: Bacteria; Pseudomonadati; Pseudomonadota; Alphaproteobacteria. The record is from RNAcentral.
AGUAGAACGAGCUCCGCAAGGAGCGAGUUGCGAACGGCUGAGUAAUGGAUAGGAAUCUCCCCAAUGGUGUGGAAUACCUCAUCGAACGAUGAGCUAAUACCGCAUAAGAUACGUGCUUUGCACUUAGUACAUAGUACAGAGUACUAAGUACUUAGAAUUUCUGAAAAGUUUUUCUAUGUACUUUGUACUAAUUUCUGUGUACUACAUGCAGGGCAUGUAUGAAAGCGCUUAACUGCGCGCCGAUGGAUGAGCCUAUCUCCCAUCAGGCUGUUGGUAGGGUAAUGGCCUACCAAACCUAUGACGGGUACCCGCCCUGAGAGGGGAAACGGGCAGAAAGGGACUGAGACACGGCCCUUACAUCUACGGAUGGCAGCAACAGGGAAUCGUACGCAAUGGACGAAAGUCUGACGUCGCAAUGCCGCGUGGAGGAUGAAGGCCUUCGGGUCGUAAACUCCUUUUAUAUGGAAUGAGAGUUCUGUAAGAAUAAGUAACUGCUAACUCUGUGCCAGCCGCCGCGGUAAUUCA